Molecule: ribosomal RNA, 1371 nt
Filed under: uncultured bacterium
Lineage: Bacteria
Description: bacterial SSU rRNA
Rfam family: Bacterial small subunit ribosomal RNA
Source: RNAcentral
GAUGAACGCUGGCGGCGUGCCUAAUACAUGCAAGUCGAGCGAACGGACGAGAAGCUUGCUUCUCUGAUGUUAGCGGCGGACGGGUGAGUAACACGUGGAUAACCUACCUAUAAGACUGGGAUAACUUCGGGAAACCGUAGCUAAUACCGGAUAAUAUUUUGAACCGCAUGGUUCAAAAGUGAAAGACGGUCUUGCUGUCACUUAUAGAUGGAUCCGCGCUGCAUUAGCUAGUUGGUAAGGUAACGGCUUACCAAGGCAACGAUGCAUAGCCGACCUGAGAGGGUGAUCGGCCACACUGGAACUGAGACACGGUCCAGACUCCUACGGGAGGCAGCAGUAGGGAAUCUUCCGCAAUGGGCGAAAGCCUGACGGAGCAACGCCGCGUGAGUGAUGAAGGUCUUCGGAUCGUAAAACUCUGUUAUUAGGGAAGAACAUAUGUGUAAGUAACUGUGCACAUCUUGACGGUACCUAAUCAGAAAGCCACGGCUAACUACGUGCCAGCAGCCGCGGUAAUACGUAGGUGGCAAGCGUUAUCCGGAAUUAUUGGGCGUAAAGCGCGCGUAGCGGUUUUUUAAGUCUGAUGUGAAAGCCCACGGCUCAACCGUGGAGGGUCAUUGGAAACUGGAAAACUUGAGUGCAGAAGAGGAAAGUGGAAUUCCAUGUGUAGCGGUGAAAUGCGCAGAGAUAUGGAGGAACACCAGUGGCGAAGGCGACUUUCUGGUCUGUAACUGACGCUGAUGUGCGAAAGCGUGGGGAUCAAACAGGAUUAGAUACCCUGGUAGUCCACGCCGUAAACGAUGAGUGCUAAGUGUUAGGGGGUUUCCGCCCCUUAGUGCUGCAGCUAACGCAUUAAGCACUCCGCCUGGGGAGUACGACCGCAAGGUUGAAACUCAAAGGAAUUGACGGGGACCCGCACAAGCGGUGGAGCAUGUGGUUUAAUUCGAAGCAACGCGAAGAACCUUACCAAAUCUUGACAUCCUUUGACAACUCUAGAGAUAGAGCCUUCCCCUUCGGGGGACAAAGUGACAGGUGGUGCAUGGUUGUCGUCAGCUCGUGUCGUGAGAUGUUGGGUUAAGUCCCGCAACGAGCGCAACCCUUAAGCUUAGUUGCCAUCAUUAAGUUGGGCACUCUAAGUUGACUGCCGGUGACAAACCGGAGGAAGGUGGGGAUGACGCCAAAUCAUCAUGCCCCUUAUGAUUUGGGCUACACACGUGCUACAAUGGACAAUACAAAGGGCAGCGAAACCGCGAGGUCAAGCAAAUCCCAUAAAGUUGUUCUCAGUUCGGAUUGUAGUCUGCAACUCGACUACAUGAAGCUGGAAUCGCUAGUAAUCGUAGAUCAGCAUGCUACGGUGAAUACGUUCCCGGGUCU